Molecule: non-coding RNA, 1474 nt
Organism: Cinara cedri
Lineage: Eukaryota; Metazoa; Arthropoda; Insecta; Hemiptera; Aphididae
Source: the annotation of a GenBank genome assembly
UGUGGUUAUUUGUUCAGAAUAAUUAUUUUACAAUACCUACGAUAAUAUUUGAUAAUAAUACUUCUUAUUUUUUGGGUAAUCGGCCUCCAUAAGACCCAUAUUUCGUAUCAUAUAUCCAUAUGUAUCCUCGGAUCUAACCUCCAAUUUUUGUUUUGGUCCUAGGGAAGAACGGCUCAAGUCAAAUGCUGUAUAGUUUUCAAUACAAGCGAAUUGAAUUUUUUUAAAUAACGUAUAUUUGUAUAGUUGGUACAUUAAAUAUCAACACGAAAUACGUCGUACGUUGAAAAUGCCCAUUUAAGUCCGAAAACGAAAUUUGGAGUGGAAAUUACACGAACGAAAUAACAGAAAUGCUAAACACCGACUUCAGCCCCGCGGAAUCAAAGGUAAACCGUUCGGAGUACAGAGUGUCCCGCCUAUUGAAGUCUAUUACAAUAUAGCAUCUGGUGUACUUUUGUGGUGAUUUCCACAAAUGAUUGGUUUCCGAAAGAGUGCGUCAGAUUCCGUCAGCGCCGUUUAUAAUCUUUGGUAUGAUAUAUAGCGUCGUUUACAGUUCCGAAUAUAUUUUCCGCGGAAUAUCCCUUGCUGGGAACCACCGGCGCGUAUAAUAUAUAUAUGUCGUCCGCCCUUUGUGGUGCACGCACCAGAAAUGUCGAGGACUCGUUUGUUUUGACCCUUUUCCGCGACAUACGAUACGUGCACGCGUAUACCCCGAGACUAAAAUCGGGAAAACUAUUUGCGUCAAACGUCCGUCCUCCACGAGCAUUGUCCGAAGUGUUCGCCGCAGAAAAACGAUAUCGCCCCGCUGAAGCACUCCGAAAUCGUGUCUGCGGUCCCCGGAGACGACCCCCCAACAAUACGUUUCUCUCGUCUCUCGCCGUUUUAUCAAACCGGCACACGCGAAACCGCCGCACUCGGGAAGUCGAGACGUUAUUUUCUCUCGUCGCGUUGUAAUAACGUUAUUAUUGUAUAUUAAGCCGUACACAUAUAUUAUUGUUUCGUUACGUUGCACUAUAAUAUGCUGUAAUGGAGACAAUACACGCGCGCGUCGUCGUCGGGGAGGAUCUGCGAAAAAUCUCCCACGGAGAAUGUAUACGCAUUUGGUGUAUAAUGUCCCCUCGUCCGAAAAAAAUAUUAAUUAUUAAAACAUUCGGUAUAACCGCGAGCAUACCGGGGCACGGUGCACACUGUCAUUAUAUCAUUACAUAUAUAGUCACCGCAUGAAAUACGAGAAAUUUCUCCCAUCACGUCCUUAUAAAUCGAUAAACGCAAUAAUCGGAAUACUAUACUGUUUUACCGCUAUUAUUUAUAUUAUUACAGAUACUUAUUUUCAUUAUAGAAACCAAUUCGAGAUUAAUAACAGGCGCGAACAUGGCUCAAAAUCAACUGCACGGCCCUAACCGCUCCAAAAACGUUUGCUGUUCACUGGGAGCAGGUUUUUACUCCGAAUAUUAUUUGCGCCUCAAAAAUAGCCCAU